AGAUGUCAAGGUCAUAAUCCUUAUCACCGCGAUGCGCUCGCGCAAGCGCGGCUGUAAGGAUUCAUGAUCCGCCCAGUAUUCGCAUAAAAGUGAAGCGAAUGCUUCACGAUAUGCGAAUACUGGGCAGGAUUGUGAGAGUGCGCAGCACGGAGCAAUCCAUAUGACAUCU
This is a small RNA of Eubacterium sp. CAG:38, 169 nucleotides long. It matches the Rfam family "Clostridiales-1 RNA". NCBI's taxonomy places the organism in Bacteria, Bacillati, Bacillota, Clostridia, Eubacteriales, Eubacteriaceae. The record is from Rfam.